UAGAUUAAAGUCCGCCGGUUUGGACAGCUAGCUGUUAACUAGUUUUUGUGGGAUCAAGGCCUGCUAAUCUAG
This 72-nucleotide transfer RNA is filed under the name Pseudoleptodeira latifasciata. Its description in RNAcentral is "tRNA-Asn". It matches the Rfam family "tRNA". From Rfam's summary of the family: Transfer RNA (tRNA) molecules are approximately 80 nucleotides in length. Their secondary structure includes four short double-helical elements and three loops (D, anti-codon, and T loops). Further hydrogen bonds mediate the characteristic L-shaped molecular structure. tRNAs have two regions of fundamental functional importance: the anti-codon, which is responsible for specific mRNA codon recognition, and the 3' end, to which the tRNAs corresponding amino acid is attached (by aminoacyl-tRNA synthetases). tRNAs cope with the degeneracy of the genetic code in two manners: having more than one tRNA (with a specific anti-codon) for a particular amino acid; and 'wobble' base-pairing, i.e. permitting non-standard base-pairing at the 3rd anti-codon position. Lineage: Eukaryota; Metazoa; Chordata; Lepidosauria; Squamata; Dipsadidae. The record is from RNAcentral.